GACGCUCUCCCCAAGGACGAAGCCAUGCAUGCCCGCUCACCCGGGAAGCGGCGGACUGCUCAAGGACAACGGUUGCACCCCCCGCGGCGGUCCCUGCUAGCCGGACACCGCUGGCAACCCGGCGCCAAGACGUGCGCGCAAGGGCGGGCGCCCGCGGGCGAGCAGCGUGACGCAG
RNAcentral lists this ribosomal RNA (175 nucleotides) under Giardia duodenalis. RNAcentral describes it as "Giardia intestinalis partial small subunit ribosomal RNA". The record is from RNAcentral. Lineage: Eukaryota; Fornicata; Diplomonadida; Hexamitidae.